GACGAACGCUGGCGGCGUGCUUAACACAUGCAAGUCGAGCGAGGCCCCUCCUUCGGGAGGGUGUCCUAGCGGCGAACGGGUGAGUAACACGUGGGCAACCUGCCCUCAGCUCUGGGAUAACUCCGGGAAACCGGGGCUAAUACCGGAUACGACCUCCACGGGCAUCUGCGGAGGUGGAAAGUUUUUCGGCUGAGGAUGGGCCCGCGGCCGAUCAGCUAGUUGGUGGGGUAGUGGCCCACCAAGGCGACGACGGGUAGCCGGCCUGAGAGGGCGACCGGCCACCAUGGGACUGAGACACGGCCCAGACUCCUACGGGAGGCAGCAGUGGGGAAUAUUGCGCAAUGGGCGAAAGCCUGACGCAGCGACGCCGCGUGAGGGACGAAGGCCUUCGGGUUGUAAACCUCUUUCAGCAGGGACGAAGCGAAAGUGACGGUACCUGCAGAAGAAGCACCGGCCAACUACGUG
RNAcentral lists this ribosomal RNA (465 nucleotides) under uncultured bacterium. Its description in RNAcentral is "partial 16S ribosomal RNA". It matches the Rfam family "Bacterial small subunit ribosomal RNA", at positions 28 to 507 of the family's 1533-position model. The record is from RNAcentral.